GUGGGGAAUUUUGGACAAUGGGCGCAAGCCUGAUCCAGCAAUGCCGCGUGCAGGAAGAAGGCCUUCGGGUUGUAAACUGCUUUUGUACGGAACGAAACGGUCCGGGUUAAUACCCUGGGCUAAUGACGGUACCGUAAGAAUAAGCACCGGCUAACUACGUGCCAGCAGCCGCGGUAAUACGUAGGGUGCAAGCGUUAAUCGGAAUUACUGGGCGUAAAGCGUGCGCAGGCGGUUUUGUAAGACCGGCGUGAAAUCCCCGGGCUCAACCUGGGAAUUGCGCUUGUGAGUGGAAGGCUGGAGUGCGGCAGAGGGGGAUGGAAUUCCGCGUGUAGCAGUGAAAUGCGUAGAUAUGCGGAGGAACACCGAUGGCGAAGGCAAUCCCCUGGGCCUACACUGACGCUCAUGCACGAAAGCGUGGGGAGCAAACAGGAUUAGAAACCCGGGUAGUCC
This 450-nucleotide ribosomal RNA is filed under the name uncultured bacterium. RNAcentral describes it as "partial 16S ribosomal RNA". It matches the Rfam family "Bacterial small subunit ribosomal RNA", at positions 354 to 796 of the family's 1533-position model. The record is from RNAcentral.